UAACGCGUGGGUAACCUGCCUCAUACAGGGGGAUAACAGUUAGAAAUGACUGCUAAUACCGCAUAAGCGCACAGUGCUGCAUGGCACAGUGUGAAAAACUCCGGUGGUAUGAGAUGGACUCGCGUCUGAUUAGCUAGUUGGUGGGGUAACGGCCUACCAAGCCGACGAUCAGUAGCCGACCUGAGAGGGUGACCGGCCACAUUGGGACUGAGACACGGCCCAA
This 223-nucleotide ribosomal RNA is filed under the name uncultured bacterium. Its description in RNAcentral is "partial 16S ribosomal RNA". It matches the Rfam family "Bacterial small subunit ribosomal RNA", at positions 111 to 334 of the family's 1533-position model. The record is from RNAcentral.